GACGAACGCUGGCGGCGUGCUUAACACAUGCAAGUCGAACGAAGAGCGACGGAAGCUUGCUUCUAUCAAUCUUAGUGGCGAACGGGUGAGUAACGCGUAAUCAACCUGCCCUUCAGAGGGGGACAACAGUUGGAAACGACUGCUAAUACCGCAUACGAUCUAACCUCGGCAUCGAGGAAAGAUGAAAGGUGGCCUCUAUGUAUAAGCUAUCACUGAAGGAGGGGAUUGCGUCUGAUUAGCUAGUUGGAGGGGUAACGGCCCACCAAGGCGAUGAUCAGUAGCCGGUCUGAGAGGAUGAACGGCCACAUUGGGACUGAGACACGGCCCAGACUCCUACGGGAGGCAGCAGUGGGGAAUCUUCCGCAAUGGACGAAAGUCUGACGGAGCAACGCCGCGUGAGUGAUGACGGCCUUCGGGUUGUAAAGCUCUGUUAAUCGGGACGAAAGGUCUUCUUGCGAAUAGUU
Molecule: ribosomal RNA, 464 nt
Filed under: Veillonella parvula
Lineage: Bacteria; Bacillati; Bacillota; Negativicutes; Veillonellales; Veillonellaceae
Description: bacterial SSU rRNA
Rfam family: Bacterial small subunit ribosomal RNA
Source: RNAcentral